UGGUCCAACGGUUGGACAAGGUAUUCCUCAGGUCACUCACAGCCACACGAAGUCAUCUGGGCUCUAUAAGAAAAUUCAUACGAAGACUGGCACAGAUCAAGGACUUGAAAGUGCUAGCCUGCAAAUAACUUUGACGACUGAUCUCUUUCUUUUUCUUCAAACACCUUGGACACUCCAAAAGAUGAAGGGAUCUAGAGGAGGAAGA
Molecule: long non-coding RNA, 205 nt
Filed under: Elaeis guineensis (African oil palm)
Lineage: Eukaryota; Viridiplantae; Streptophyta; Magnoliopsida; Arecales; Arecaceae
Description: long non-coding RNA (EGUI_LNC048057)
Source: RNAcentral